This 2111-nucleotide ribosomal RNA is filed under the name Pseudomonas aeruginosa. Its description in RNAcentral is "bacterial LSU rRNA". It matches the Rfam family "Bacterial large subunit ribosomal RNA", at positions 14 to 2169 of the family's 2925-position model. The record is from RNAcentral. Lineage: Bacteria; Pseudomonadati; Pseudomonadota; Gammaproteobacteria; Pseudomonadales; Pseudomonadaceae.
AGCGCAUACGGUGGAUGCCUUGGCAGUCAGAGGCGAUGAAAGACGUGGUAGCCUGCGAAAAGCUUCGGGGAGUCGGCAAACAGACUUUGAUCCGGAGAUCUCUGAAUGGGGGAACCCACCUAGGAUAACCUAGGUAUCUUGUACUGAAUCCAUAGGUGCAAGAGGCGAACCAGGGGAACUGAAACAUCUAAGUACCCUGAGGAAAAGAAAUCAACCGAGAUUCCCUUAGUAGUGGCGAGCGAACGGGGAUUAGCCCUUAAGCUUCAUUGAUUUUAGCGGAACGCUCUGGAAAGUGCGGCCAUAGUGGGUGAUAGCCCCGUACGCGAAAGGAUCUUUGAAGUGAAAUCGAGUAGGACGGAGCACGAGAAACUUUGUCUGAACAUGGGGGGACCAUCCUCCAAGGCUAAAUACUACUGACUGACCGAUAGUGAACCAGUACCGUGAGGGAAAGGCGAAAAGAACCCCGGAGAGGGGAGUGAAAUAGAACCUGAAACCGUAUGCGUACAAGCAGUGGGAGCCUACUUGUUAGGUGACUGCGUACCUUUUGUAUAAUGGGUCAGCGACUUAUAUUCAGUGGCAAGCUUAACCGUAUAGGGUAGGCGUAGCGAAAGCGAGUCUUAAUAGGGCGUUUAGUCGCUGGGUAUAGACCCGAAACCGGGCGAUCUAUCCAUGAGCAGGUUGAAGGUUAGGUAACACUGACUGGAGGACCGAACCCACUCCCGUUGAAAAGGUAGGGGAUGACUUGUGGAUCGGAGUGAAAGGCUAAUCAAGCUCGGAGAUAGCUGGUUCUCCUCGAAAGCUAUUUAGGUAGCGCCUCAUGUAUCACUCUGGGGGGUAGAGCACUGUUUCGGCUAGGGGGUCAUCCCGACUUACCAAACCGAUGCAAACUCCGAAUACCCAGAAGUGCCGAGCAUGGGAGACACACGGCGGGUGCUAACGUCCGUCGUGAAAAGGGAAACAACCCAGACCGCCAGCUAAGGUCCCAAAGUUGUGGUUAAGUGGUAAACGAUGUGGGAAGGCUUAGACAGCUAGGAGGUUGGCUUAGAAGCAGCCACCCUUUAAAGAAAGCGUAAUAGCUCACUAGUCGAGUCGGCCUGCGCGGAAGAUGUAACGGGGCUCAAACCACACACCGAAGCUGCGGGUGUCACGUAAGUGACGCGGUAGAGGAGCGUUCUGUAAGCCUGUGAAGGUGAGUUGAGAAGCUUGCUGGAGGUAUCAGAAGUGCGAAUGCUGACAUGAGUAACGACAAUGGGUGUGAAAAACACCCACGCCGAAAGACCAAGGGUUCCUGCGCAACGUUAAUCGACGCAGGGUUAGUCGGUUCCUAAGGCGAGGCUGAAAAGCGUAGUCGAUGGGAAACAGGUUAAUAUUCCUGUACUUCUGGUUACUGCGAUGGAGGGACGGAGAAGGCUAGGCCAGCUUGGCGUUGGUUGUCCAAGUUUAAGGUGGUAGGCUGAAAUCUUAGGUAAAUCCGGGGUUUCAAGGCCGAGAGCUGAUGACGAGUCGUCUUUUAGAUGACGAAGUGGUUGAUGCCAUGCUUCCAAGAAAAGCUUCUAAGCUUCAGGUAACCAGGAACCGUACCCCAAACCGACACAGGUGGUCGGGUAGAGAAUACCAAGGCGCUUGAGAGAACUCGGGUGAAGGAACUAGGCAAAAUGGCACCGUAACUUCGGGAGAAGGUGCGCCGGCUAGGGUGAAGGAUUUACUCCGUAAGCUCUGGCUGGUCGAAGAUACCAGGCCGCUGCGACUGUUUAUUAAAAACACAGCACUCUGCAAACACGAAAGUGGACGUAUAGGGUGUGACGCCUGCCCGGUGCCGGAAGGUUAAUUGAUGGGGUUAGCGCAAGCGAAGCUCUUGAUCGAAGCCCCGGUAAACGGCGGCCGUAACUAUAACGGUCCUAAGGUAGCGAAAUUCCUUGUCGGGUAAGUUCCGACCUGCACGAAUGGCGUAACGAUGGCGGCGCUGUCUCCACCCGAGACUCAGUGAAAUUGAAAUCGCUGUGAAGAUGCAGUGUAUCCGCGGCUAGACGGAAAGACCCCGUGAACCUUUACUGUAGCUUUGCACUGGACUUUGAGCCUGCUUGUGUAGGAUCUGUCUCUUAUACACAUCU